Molecule: ribosomal RNA, 514 nt
Filed under: Ilyonectria sp. osu_besc_4e
Lineage: Eukaryota; Fungi; Ascomycota; Sordariomycetes; Hypocreales; Nectriaceae
Description: eukaryotic LSU rRNA
Rfam family: 5.8S ribosomal RNA (bases 144-297)
Source: RNAcentral
AUCAUUACCGAGUUUACAACUCCCAAACCCCUGUGAACAUACCAUAUUGUUGCCUCGGCGGUGCCUGUUUCGGCAGCCCGCCAGAGGACCCAAACCCUAGAUUACAUUAAAGCAUUUUCUGAGUCAAUGAUUAAAUCAAUCAAAACUUUCAACAACGGAUCUCUUGGUUCUGGCAUCGAUGAAGAACGCAGCGAAAUGCGAUAAGUAAUGUGAAUUGCAGAAUUCAGUGAAUCAUCGAAUCUUUGAACGCACAUUGCGCCCGCCAGUAUUCUGGCGGGCAUGCCUGUCCGAGCGUCAUUUCAACCCUCAAGCCCCCGGGCUUGGUGUUGGAGAUCGGCGAGCCCCCCGGGGCGCGCCGUCUCCCAAAUAUAGUGGCGGUCCCGCUGUAGCUUCCUCUGCGUAGUAGCACACCUCGCACUGGGAAACAGCGUGGCCACGCCGUAAAACCCCCCACUUCUGAAAGGUUGACCUCGGAUCAGGUAGGAAUACCCGCUGAACUUAAGCAUAUCAAUAG